GGAAAAUCAAUCCAAAAACGCAAUGCAGAAAAAAAUUAUAACUAUCAUCCCAAUUCAAUUACACAACUCUAUAAAUACAAGAUUGAACAGUGGAACCUUCUUCUCCAAAUUUUCCAGAAUUUCUUCUUCCCUCUUUCUUUUUCUUCUUGAAUCUUCCACUUUCUUCUUCUUCCCGCGCCUCUAACUAACUUUCACCAGCUUCUCUUCCCUCUCUUUCUGCAAAAUAAAGGCUUCGCUCCUCUUUUCCCAGAUCAUAGCCAAAUCGCACCAUCAUCGGCAUAACAGUUUCUCGUGCAUCCACCUUCAUCCUUCCAUUUCCGAAUUCUGCAAGUUGAAUGUUUUCUUGGUUCAUUCAUCAUAAACGCAGAAGAGGCAAUACCAAUUCAGAGCUAUUGUUGCAAAUCGACGACCAACGCUCACCGAACCUGCAAAUUGUAAUCAUUCGAAAACAAUUCAUCACACACGCACCAAAAUCAUAAUGCAACGAUAACGAGAAGAAACGCGAAGCAUCUGGGAAAGAGAAGGAGAUUCGAGUUCGUACCUGGUUGCGAUUCAGAGUAAUUGCCUUAACUCGUAUCACUUAUUCUCCCUUCCCGUUUCCUUUCACUUGUUAGGAGAUUGAUCAAUUUUAGAAU
Molecule: long non-coding RNA, 635 nt
Filed under: Lathyrus oleraceus (garden pea)
Lineage: Eukaryota; Viridiplantae; Streptophyta; Magnoliopsida; Fabales; Fabaceae
Description: Pisum sativum (pea) long non-coding RNA (PSAT_LNC025547)
Source: RNAcentral